RNAcentral lists this ribosomal RNA (253 nucleotides) under uncultured bacterium. Its description in RNAcentral is "partial 16S ribosomal RNA". It matches the Rfam family "Bacterial small subunit ribosomal RNA", at positions 524 to 776 of the family's 1533-position model. The record is from RNAcentral.
UACGUAGGGUGCGAGCGUUGUCCGGAAUUACUGGGCGUAAAGAGCUCGUAGGUGGUUUGUCGCGUUGUUCGUGAAAACUCACAGCUUAACUGUGGGCGUGCGGGCGAUACGGGCAGACUGGAGUACUGCAGGGGAGACUGGAAUUCCUGGUGUAGCGGUGAAAUGCGUAGAUAUCAAGAGGAACACCUGAGGUGAAGACGGGUUGCUGGGCCAACACUGACGCUGAUGCGCGAAAGCCAGGGGAGCAAACGGG